GACGAACGCUGGCGGCGUGCUUAACACAUGCCAAUCGAACGGAAAGGCCCUGCUUUUGUGGGGUGCUCGAGUGGCGAACGGGUGAGUAACACGUGAGUAACCUGCCCUUGACUUUGGGAUAACUUCAGGAAACUGGGGCUAAUACCGGAUAGGAGCUCCUGCUGCAUGGUGGGGGUUGGAAAGUUUCGGCGGUUGGGGAUGGACUCGCGGCUUAUCAGCUCGUUGGUGGGGUAGUGGCUUACCAAGGCUUUGACGGGUAGCCGGCCUGAGAGGGUGACCGGCCACAUUGGGACUGAGAUACGGCCCAGACUCCUACGGGAGGCAGCAGUGGGGAAUAUUGCACAAUGGGCGGAAGCCUGAUGCAGCAACGCCGCGUGCGGGAUGACGGCCUUCGGGUUGUAAACCGCUUUCGCCUGUGACGAAGCGUGAGUGACGGUAAUGGGUAAAGAAGCACCGGCUAACUACGUG
This 468-nucleotide ribosomal RNA is filed under the name uncultured bacterium. RNAcentral's name for it is "partial 16S ribosomal RNA". It matches the Rfam family "Bacterial small subunit ribosomal RNA", at positions 28 to 507 of the family's 1533-position model. The record is from RNAcentral.